Molecule: long non-coding RNA, 616 nt
Organism: Magallana angulata
Lineage: Eukaryota; Metazoa; Mollusca; Bivalvia; Ostreida; Ostreidae
Exons: 3
Source: RefSeq, a predicted model, not a curated record
UCGCGGUGGUUUACAAACGUCCAAGAGUUAAAAAAUGCCUGUACUUGUGGUCAGAAUAAGUGAUCAGGAAGGUACUGACUUAUUGGCAAAUACAGUCACCAACUUUUCGGGGGGUAAAUUCUACGAGUUGUUUGAAAAGUGUGUGGAAUCGAAAGACAUUAUCUUGUCUGUUGAUUCGAUUGUGGAAGUUCGUCUGCGUGAAGGACAAAAUGCCCAAUUCAUCAUCGCAGAUAAUGCUGAUAUGGACGUUUCAGAAAUAACCUCUACACUUAAUUACCUUCUUGGCAGACCAUGGAAAGAGUAGUCACUACAUGUUCCAGUUGAAAAAGUGCAAUAACUGUGCCUAUUGCACAGUUAUUAACCCCAAGGCUUCCUGUUGCUGAAUUCCAGAGUUUGCAUUUUCUGCCUGACCCUGUUCCUGGAGGAGAUGGCCAUUAUCAAACCUUUGAGGAGUUGUAUGGACAAGUAACAGACGAUACAUACAGGCCGAGUGCUCAAGUACAGGAUGAUCCUGCCACUGCCAACGACAGGCGUAACCGAGAUAUAUUUAAGACCCAAAAAGGUUGUGAUGUUAUUGUAUGUGGAGAGUGCUCAAAACCAAGAUGUGUCUACAGUG